CCUACGGGUGGCUGCAGUCGAGAAUCAUUCACAAUGGGGGAAACCCUGAUGGUGCGACGCCGCGUGGGGGAAUGAAGGUCUUCGGAUUGUAAACCCCUGUCAUGUGGGAGCAAAUUAAAACGAGAGUACCACAAGAGGAAUAGACGGCUAACUCUGUGCCAGCAGCCGCGGUAAUACAGAGGUCUCAAGCGUUGUGCGGAAUCACUGGGCGUAAAGCGUGCGUAGGCUGUUUCGUAAGUCGGGUGUGAAAGGCGCGGGCUCAACCCGCGGAUGGCACAUGAUACUGGGAGACUAGAGUGAGGGUGGGGGAGCCGGAAUUCUCGGUGUAGCAGUGAAAUGCGUAGAUAUCGAGAAGAACACUCGUGGCGAAGGCAGGUUCCUGGACAGUAACUGACGCUGAGGCACGAAGGCCAGGGGAGCGAAAGGGAUUAGAUACCCGAGUAGUC
RNAcentral lists this ribosomal RNA (446 nucleotides) under uncultured bacterium. RNAcentral's name for it is "partial 16S ribosomal RNA". It matches the Rfam family "Bacterial small subunit ribosomal RNA", at positions 338 to 795 of the family's 1533-position model. The record is from RNAcentral.